UACGGGGGGGGCAAGCGUUGUUCGGAAUUACUGGGCGUAAAGGGCGCGCAGGCGGCUUAUUUUGUCAGGCGUGAAAGCCCCGGGCUUAACCUGGGAACUGCGUUUGAUACGGAUGGGCUAGAGUUCGGGAGAGGAGAGUGGAAUUCCCAGUGUAGAGGUGAAAUUCGUAGAUAUUCGCAAGAACACCAGUGGCGAAGGCGGCUCACUGGCCCGAUACUGACGCUGAGGCACGAAAGCGUGGGGAGCAAACAGG
This 253-nucleotide ribosomal RNA is filed under the name uncultured bacterium. Its description in RNAcentral is "partial 16S ribosomal RNA". It matches the Rfam family "Bacterial small subunit ribosomal RNA", at positions 524 to 776 of the family's 1533-position model. The record is from RNAcentral.